GUUUAAUAAUUGUUUCCCAAUCUUUCCAGAUAGAGAUUUGAAGCACAAUAAAAUAAAAAAGUACAUUUGAAGUACAAAACAGUUCUUCCCAAAUGAAGAGUUAGCGGUAGCUGAGGCAGAGAUCAAAUGCAGAUUAGCCUGAUUGCAGAGCCCAGACUUACCAUAACCCGGUGUUUAGUCCUUUCCUCCACCCUGCGGCUAGGCAGUCUCUUCCAAGACUGCGUAGAAGCCCAGGCUUUCACACUAAUGUGGGAUUAGCAUUUUUCUUUGUAUUCAACCCCAGACUGGCUUUCAGCUUCGCUGAUUCUGACACCAUAUUUCCUAUAACUUAGGAAAUGCUAUGGAAUAUGGGAACCUUCAGAUGUGGACUUGAUUGAAAUGAAUGAAGUUUGUUUUCUUUUAUGUUCUAUUUCUCUCUCAGGCUUGCAUAUGCUAGUGGGUCCAGAUGGUUGGAAUCAUCAAUUGAAAACAAAGAGAACACUAAGAAAGCAGCAAGGGAGAGAGAUACCAAGUGGCAAUUAGGGAUGAGACAGCUAAAAUGGCUUCAUGAUGAAUCAAGGACUCCGUAAUACCCAAGGAUGCCCAUGAUGCUGUGCUGAACACAGGCUGGGUUUAGCAAUUUCUAACUUCCACAUUGAAAUCAUGGAGAAGUUGAAUUUAGGCGGUUCUUGUGGAAAAAAAAAUACAUACAUAUAUAUAAAUUUGGCCAUUUUAAAUAUAUUGGAUUUUUAAUUAAACAAAAGCUGUUGACAUCAUUACCCACCCCCGCCAAAAGAAAGAAAAAAAAUCCACCCACCCAAUCUGUUGUCCCUAAUUUUAAAAAGAUCUCAAAAGUUUCUUUCUACUGUACUUACAUGCAAAGGUGAAACCACAUCCAAUUAGAUUUGAGGGUAUCAUUUAUUCUGUGCAGAGCCAAGGACUACUGUGAAAAAAGGCAUCGAUACAGAAAGAAAAAAGAGCAGCAAUAACAAACUAAACAGGCCUGGGGGCAGUGGUAGAAAAAGUUGAGAAGCAACACAUUAAAAAAAAAUAGCUUCUAUGUUUCCUUUGCCUUCCUAUUCCCUGCCUCUCCAUGUGACAUUUUCCUGUGAAAAAUUUAAUACAAAAAAAAUUCAAUCAAUAAUCUUGGAAUCAAAAAGUCAACUGUGUGCCUUUCA
Molecule: long non-coding RNA, 1157 nt
Filed under: Oryctolagus cuniculus (rabbit)
Lineage: Eukaryota; Metazoa; Chordata; Mammalia; Lagomorpha; Leporidae
Description: lncRNA (ENSOCUG00000039470.1)
Source: RNAcentral